AGUGAACGCUGGCGGUAGGCCUAACACAUGCAAGUCGAACGGCAGCACAGUAAGAGCUUGCUCUUACGGGUGGCGAGUGGCGGAUGGGUGAGGAAUGCAUCGGAAUCUACUUUUUCGUGGGGGAUUACGUAGGGAAACUUACGCUAAUACAGCAUACGACCUACGGGUGAAAGCAGGGGAUCUUCGGACCUUGCGCGAUUGAAUGAGCCGAUGUCGGAUUAGCUAGUUGGCGGGGUAAAGGCCCACCAAGGCGACGAUCCGUAGCUGGUCUGAGAGGAUGGUCAGCCACACUGGAACUGAGACACUGUCCAGACUCCUACGGGAGGCAGCAGUGGGGAAUAUUGGACAAUGGGCGCAAGCCUGAUCCAGCCAUACCGCGUGAGUGAAGAAGGCCUUCGGGUUGUAAAGCCCUUUUGUUGGGAAAGAAAAGCAGCAGGUGAAUACCCCGCUGUUCUGACGGUACCCAAAGAAUAAGCACCGGCUAACUUCGUG
This 492-nucleotide ribosomal RNA is filed under the name uncultured bacterium. RNAcentral describes it as "partial 16S ribosomal RNA". It matches the Rfam family "Bacterial small subunit ribosomal RNA", at positions 29 to 507 of the family's 1533-position model. The record is from RNAcentral.